AGAGUUUGAUCCUGGCUCAGAACGAACGUUGGCGGCGUGGAUUAGGCAUGCAAGUCGAGCGAAUCCCCAGCAAUGGGGGGAAGCGGCGAAAGGGGCAGUAAGGCGUGGGUAACCUACCCCGGGGACUGGUAUAGCCCUUCGAGAGAAGGGGUAAUCCCGGGCGAUGUGGCGAGAGGGCAUCCUCUUGUCACCAAAUGAGUCUCGCCCUGGGAGGGGCCCACGUGAUAUUAGCUAGUUGGUAGGGUAACGGCCUACCAAGGCGAAGAUGUCUAGCGGGUGUGAGAGCACGACCCGCGCCACUGGCACUGAGACACUGGCCAGACACCUACGGGUGGCUGCAGUCGAGGAUCUUCGGCAAUGGGCGCAAGCCUGACCGAGCGACGCCGCGUGGGCGAUGAAGGCCUUCGGGUUGUAAAGCCCUGUCGAGGGGGAGAAAAGGCAACUUGAUCUAUCCCUGGAGGAAGCACGGGCUAAGUUCGUGCCAGCAGCCGCGGUAAGACGAACCGUGCGAACGUUGUUCGGAAUCACUGGGCUUAAAGGGCGCGUAGGCGGGCCGCCAAGUCUGUGGUGAAAUCCCCCGGCUCAACCGGGGAACUGCCGUGGAUACUGGAGGUCUCGAGGGAGGUAGGGGCAUGCGGAACUACGGGUGGAGCGGUGAAAUGCGUUGAUAUCCGUAGGAACUCCGGUGGCGAAGGCGGCGUGCUGGACCUCUUCUGACGCUGAGGCGCGAAAGCCAGGGGAGCGAACGGGAUUAGAUACCCCGGUAGUCC
Molecule: ribosomal RNA, 770 nt
Filed under: uncultured bacterium
Lineage: Bacteria
Description: bacterial SSU rRNA
Rfam family: Bacterial small subunit ribosomal RNA
Source: RNAcentral